This 406-nucleotide ribosomal RNA is filed under the name uncultured bacterium. RNAcentral describes it as "partial 16S ribosomal RNA". It matches the Rfam family "Bacterial small subunit ribosomal RNA", at positions 30 to 526 of the family's 1533-position model. The record is from RNAcentral.
AUUGAACGCUGGCGGCAGGCCUAACACAUGCAAGUCGAACGAGUGGCGGACGGGUGAGUAAUGUAUGGGAAUCUGCCCGAUGGAGGGGGAUAACUACUGGAAACGGUAGCUAAUACCGCAUACUAUCAGAUGUGCCCAUAUGGGAUUAGCUUGUUGGUGGGGUAACGGCUCACCAAGGCGAUGAUCCCUAGCUGGUCUGAGAGGAUGACCAGCCACACUGGAACUGAGACACGGUCCAGACUCCGACGGGAGGCAGCAGUGGGGAAUAUUGCACAAUGGGCGCAAGCCUGAUGCAGCCAUGCCGCGUGUAUGAAGAAGGCCUUAGGGUUGUAAAGUACUUUCAGCGGGGAGGCGUUACCCGCAGAAGAAGCACCGGCUAACUCCGUGCCAGCAGCCGCGGUAAUUC